AGAGGAGGAACUGAGGAGAGGAGGAGAGGAGGAGAGAAAAACAAUUGAACUAUUUGAAGUGGUGAUAUGAAUCAGAUGUUGUUGUCCUCUCACUGCUAGACAUGACUUCACCACUAAGGUGAUUCAUCUGUUGUUGUCCUCUUACUACUAGACAUGACUUCACCACCAAGGUGAUUCAUCUGUUGUUGUCCUCUUACUACUAGACAUGACUUCACCACCAAGGUGAUUCAUCUGUUGUUGUCCUCUUACUACUAGACAUGACUUCACCACCAAGGUGAUUCAUCUGUUGUUGUCCUCUCACUGCUAGACAUGACUUCACCACCAAGUUGAUUAAUCUGUUGUUGUCCUCUUACUGCUAGACAUGACUUCACCACCAAGGUACUUCAUCUGUUGAUGUCCUCUUACUGCUAGACAUGACUUCACCACUAAGGUCUUCAUCCAUCACAAUGUGGGAGGCCUCCUCCACCGUGACAGCUUUGUCACCAGAUCCUCACUGGCCUUCAACCGGAACCACAUUUCCAAAAGACCUGCAGCUCCUGCUGCUCUGAGGGAGCCAGGAGACACCUCAGUAUAACCUCCCCCCCCAGGCCUGCUGCUCUGAGGGAGCCAGGGGACACCUCAGUAUAACCUCCCCCCAGGCCUGCUGCUCUGAGGGAGCCAGGGGACACCUCAGUAUAACCUCCCCCCAGGCCUGCUGCUCUGAGGGAGCCAAGGGACACCUCAGUAUAACCUCUCCCCAGGCCUGCUGCUCUGAGGGAGCCAGGGGACACCUCAGUAUAACCUCCCCCCAGGCCUGCUGCUCUGAGGGAGCCAGGGGACACCUCAGUAUAAC
RNAcentral lists this long non-coding RNA (832 nucleotides) under Salmo salar (Atlantic salmon). Its description in RNAcentral is "lncRNA (ENSSSAG00000087247.1)". The record is from RNAcentral. Lineage: Eukaryota; Metazoa; Chordata; Actinopteri; Salmoniformes; Salmonidae.